AUUGAACGCUGGCGGCAUGCUUUACACAUGCAAGUCGAACGGCAGCGCGGGCUUCGGCCUGGCGGCGAGUGGCGAACGGGAGAGUAAUACAUCGGAACGUGCCCAGUAGUGGGGGAUAGCUCGGCGAAAGCCGGAUUAAUACCGCAUACGACCUGAGGGUGAAAGCGGGGAAUCUUCGGACCUCGCGCUAUUGGAGCGGCCGAUGGCAGAUUAGCUAGUUGGUGGGGUAAAGGCCUACCAAGGCGACGAUCUGUAGCUGGUCUGAGAGGACGACCAGCCACACUGGGACUGAGACACGGCCCAGACUCCUACGGGAGGCAGCAGUGGGGAAUUUUGGACAAUGGGCGAAAGCCUGAUCCAGCAAUGCCGCGUGUGUGAUGAAGGCCUUCGGGUUUUAAAGCACUUUUGGCGGGAACGAAAAGGACUGUGCCAAUACCACGGUUCGAUGACGGUACCCGCAGAAUAAGCACCGGCUAACUACGUG
Molecule: ribosomal RNA, 484 nt
Filed under: uncultured bacterium
Lineage: Bacteria
Description: partial 16S ribosomal RNA
Rfam family: Bacterial small subunit ribosomal RNA
Source: RNAcentral